AUUGAACGCUGGCGGAAUGCUUUACACAUGCAAGUCGAACGGCAGCACGGACUUCGGUCUGGUGGCGAGUGGCGAACGGGUGAGUAAUGUAUCGGAACGUGCCCAGUCGUGGGGGAUAACGUAGUGAAAAUUACGCUAAUACCGCAUACGAUCUAUGGAUGAAAGCGGGGGAUCGCAAGACCUCGCGCGAUUGGAGCGGCCGAGAUCAGAUUAGGUAGUUGGUGGGGUAAAGGCCCACCAAGCCAACGAUCUGUAGCUGGUCUGAGAGGACGACCAGCGACACUGGGACUGCGACACGGUCCAGACUCCUACGGGAGGCAGCAUGGGGUAAUGUUGGACAAUGAGCGAAAGCCUGAUCCAGCCAUUCCGCGUACAGGAUGAAGGCCCUCGGGUUGUAAACUGCUUUUGUACAGAACGAAAAGGUUUCUACUAAUACUAGGAGCUCAUGACGGUACUGUAAGAAUAAGCACCGGCUAACUACGUGCCAGCCGCCGCGGUAA
This 500-nucleotide ribosomal RNA is filed under the name uncultured bacterium. Its description in RNAcentral is "partial 16S ribosomal RNA". It matches the Rfam family "Bacterial small subunit ribosomal RNA", at positions 30 to 523 of the family's 1533-position model. The record is from RNAcentral.